UACGAAGGUGGCAAGCGUUGUCCGGAAUUACUAGGCGUAAAGGGCAGGCAGGCGGAUCCAUAAGUUUAUCGUUUAAGGCGUCGGCUUAACCGGCGUAGGGCGGUAGAUACUGUGGACCUGGAAUGCGGUUGGGGAAGACAGAAUUCCUGGUGUAGCGGUGGAAUGCGCAGAGAUCAGGAGGAAUACCGAAGGCGAAGGCAGUCUUCCAAGCCGUUAUUGACGCUCAACUGCGAAGGUGUGGGUAUCAAACAGGAUUAGAUACCCUGGUAGUCCCUGA
Molecule: ribosomal RNA, 277 nt
Filed under: uncultured prokaryote
Description: partial 16S ribosomal RNA
Rfam family: Bacterial small subunit ribosomal RNA
Source: RNAcentral